This 320-nucleotide ribosomal RNA is filed under the name uncultured eukaryote. Its description in RNAcentral is "partial 18S ribosomal RNA". It matches the Rfam family "Eukaryotic small subunit ribosomal RNA", at positions 1470 to 1796 of the family's 1831-position model. The record is from RNAcentral.
CCCUUAGAUGUUCUGGGCUGCACGCGUGUUACAAUCGGGAGUACAACAAGAUUGCAAAUCCUAGUGGAUGAGUGGUUCUUCGAAAUUUUCUGAAGACUGGGAUAGUUGAUUGAAAUUAUUCAACUCAAACGAGGAAUUCCUUGUAAUUGUAAUUCAUUAUAUUGUAAUGAAUACGUCCCUGCCCUUUGUACACACCGCCCGUCGCUCCUACCGAUUGAACGAUCCGGUGAAUUAUUUGGAGUAGCUCUGGAAGUUGCAGAACUUCCUAUGUCACGAAAUUUUGUAAACCUUAUCGUUUAGAGGAAGGAGAAGUCGUAACA